GAUAUUGCAUUAUCUAAAAUUAUCGACCUCUUCCAAAACUCUUCUAGUGCUUCUAGGGAAUACUAUAUAUCAUCUGAGCAUCAUAUCAUCAUAGCAUUUCCUUUUGAAACAUGGACCUUGUCUCUAACUCAUCCGUAAUAUUUUGUUCUAUACCUUAUUCGUCAGGUGUUUGAAAUUAAACAAACAAAAAAUAGGAAGAAAAAAUUUAUAUUGGCCUUGAUAACGAAUCUUCUCGAAAUCGAUAUAGUACUGUUUUACUAUGCUGCUUUCGAAUGGUGGUACGGGGCUAGGGAAUCAUCCCUUCAAAGGAUCAAUAGGGAAGCGGCUUCAGUAAGAGGAUAUAAUCGAUUGCGUUGGGAAAGGUUUUUCGAAGGAACGUCCAACGGUUCAUACGGAUCAUGGGUCAAAGUUGAAUUUUUGCUCUAAUAAGGGAACGUUCCUUCGUAGAAAAGUAAGUUUCCUCGCCGAUUCUCUUUGGAUUCUAUUUUUUUGCAACUUCAGAAGGAUUCAAUGCAGUCGGGAAGGGUAAAUAAAAAUCAGUAAUAACGUUGACCGUAUUUUUGGAUAUCGAACUAAUAUUAAUUUCGGCAAUUAGUUAGAAAAUUAUAUAUAUCGUAAUAAUAUUUAUUUCAAUUUCGAGAUUAGGAACGAUAAGGAAAACCUUAGGGCGAUUAAUAGUGAUUCCGAAAAAGAUGUUCUGCGAAUCAUUAUUGAAGAAGAAGAAGAGGAUGAAGAUGAAGAAGGAGAUACAGGGGAUGAAGUAGUAGAGGAGAUAUACUAAACCAACCGAAGACGAAAACAGUUCCGAUAGCCUGGAGGUAUUGCAAAGGAGCCGAAUUGAUUUAUAUUUGAAUUGUAAUUCCAAAAAAGAUAAAAAAAUUUCAACAACGCUCCACCAGAUAAUAUAACAUUGCACAUCCAAAGUGAAAAGCAAUCACAUUGAUUCUAUCUAUUCUUACGUACAUACGACGAUACGAUUGUACAACAUGGAUAGUACAAAUGCCAGAAAAACAAUAAGAUUACUAUAUGAACACAUUUUCCUUUUUAAAAUUGCUUAUAAAUGGAAAAACAAUCAACGCUGUGUUUAUUUAAUGAUAAGAUAUUUUAGAGAUAUGAUAAAUUUUUUAUUCUAAAAUGUAAUGUCGAAUAUAAAGUCUAUAACAUAUUUAUUUAUUUUAUAAUAAUUUAUUGAAUAUUUUCGUAGAUUAUAUGCAGUCGAAGAAAGUAUUAUUAUUUAUAAGUGAAUUUAUCUCAUAUAUUCUAAAUGGUACGAAUCCCAAAUGGGAGUAAUUAUCCGAUAAGUACUAUAAUAUGGAAAUGAAAUCUUUUAAUAAAUCUUAUACAAAUAUAAUGUCAAAUUUAAUGAAUAUUAAUGGAAUAAUAGAAUGAUUAGUGAUAAAGAUGAUAGCUAGGGAUUAUUUCGCGUAUGAGACACACUUGCGUAUUACUGGGUCGCAAAUCCCGGAAGGAAUGACUUAACCUAGUUUAAUUAGCCACAUGUUAGCUGGAUAGAAGACCAAGCUUCCUAAAAUCUAAUUAUCUAACUAGAACGCAUGGGGAUAAAUAAUUUCCCCACUCCUAUAGUUAUGUAAUUAUAUGUAUAUAUACUCUAUGUUCAUGCGAAAUUAUCUGUGUAAUAUAUCAUGGAAUUUCCUAAUGAGAAUCUUACAAUAAUUCGUCUAUUUUUUAAUUGAAAUAAUCACAUAAAACUGUAAUUAUUUAUAAUAUAAUUAAUUAUUAUAAUAAUAAUUAUUGUAAUUAUGAAGACUAAUUCUUAUGAAGUUAAUCGGAUAUUAAUAUAGGAAAUUCGCACUGUUAUUUUUUUUGUAAGUCUGACUUAUGCUUAAUAGUAUUCUAUUAUCAGUAUUCUAUUAUUCAUAAUGAUAUUAUGGAUAUUAUAGUAUUCUAUUACCAGUAUUCUAUUAUUCCUAAUGAUUCUAUAUAGUAUUCUAUUAUUCAUAAUGAUAUCACUAUAAAUUUUCGUGCUACGUAUAUACUAUGUAAUUCUUAUAGUAAAAUCAUCUCUCUUAAAAAAUUUUUUCGUCGGAAGUUAUAUCUACUGCCAUAUUGCAUGAAAACAUUUUCUCCAAAUAUUAUUUCCUUUUCUUGUAAACAAAUGCAUAUUGCUCAAGUUAUCGAAGAUAGCAUUUUCGCUAUUCCAUAAUAAUAAAAAACGAAUUCGGAGAAAAUCUUUCGUCACAUUUAUGGUUUCCUAAUAUUACCUUCCCCUCUUUACCGUAUUUUCCCUUCGAGAGAACCACUCGGUUAGUUAAUCAAGAAAUGGUCAAAUUACCAAGUUAUAUGAAAAGAAUGUCAGUCGAUUUUAUGAAAAAGAAGUACGUUCACAACGGUCUGAGGGCUUCUAUAAACCACUUAAAGAGAGAGAUAAGGACUUGUCUGCAAUUGUACGCGAGUACGCUUCGUACGAUGCAAUGAUAUUUGAUGGAGUAAACAAGCAAUCAUGAAACUGAGGGGAGAUUUGCGAAGCUGAACUCGUGUCGUAUUGAAAUUUCUAGUGAAACAGAUAGUUCCCUACACUAAUAAGCCAAAAAAUCAGAAACGUAAUAUUCCUUUGGUAUAUAUCGUUUCGUGAUUUCGUAAUAUACAAUUUCAGUCUUCCAACCUGUUUACUUACUCAUUUCUUUUUCAUUAAGAGAAUGGCAAAAUUUCCAAACACGAGUAAGUUUCGUGCCAUAAGUAAUAUCGAAGGAGAAUUUUGGCUACAAGACAAACAUUAAAACAGACAUCUUAGAAAAAAAAAAUAUUAAUCGGGAAGAAAACGAUAGGAGUGAUAGUCAUUACAUCUAACAAAAAAACGGAAAGACCUCACGG
This is a long non-coding RNA of Vespula vulgaris, 2832 nucleotides long. RefSeq lists it as uncharacterized. The record is from RefSeq and is a predicted model, not a curated record. Lineage: Eukaryota; Metazoa; Arthropoda; Insecta; Hymenoptera; Vespidae. The transcript is spliced from 2 exons.